This 465-nucleotide long non-coding RNA is filed under the name Nicotiana benthamiana. RNAcentral describes it as "long non-coding RNA (NBEN_LNC030911)". The record is from RNAcentral. Lineage: Eukaryota; Viridiplantae; Streptophyta; Magnoliopsida; Solanales; Solanaceae.
AACCAGUAGCCCAUCGAAGGACCUGAUGGAGCCUAUCGGUGAGAUUAAUAGGGGCUGUCCCUCGGAAUGCAUCACGUUUGGUAACGCAAUAAACUGACUUCCAACCCCUGUUGUGCAUCCUGUAUCCUGUGACAACAUCUUCAGUAACUGAACCAUAAAUCCAUCCGACACGUUGUCCCCACUCUGUCUUGUCCUCGUACCAGCAGGAGAUGACACUGAUGGCCUCUGCAACAGUUGAUGCAUCAAGAUGCUCCCGAGGAAUGGUCAAAGCACCAGGCGGCCGUCCAUUCUUCACAGCUGGAUGAUCUGCCAAAGGACGACCUUGGAACUCCGCCACAGGGAUUGAAUCAAUAAGGACUGCUGAGUUACCAAAAGCCUUAGGAGCCAGUGAGAGGUUCAUUUCGUCAUCGUCCGAAUCACCUAGCCGCAAGGCCCGAUGCUCUUCUGGUGCAUUAACAUGCUUUC